RNAcentral lists this ribosomal RNA (515 nucleotides) under uncultured Actinomycetes bacterium. RNAcentral describes it as "bacterial SSU rRNA". It matches the Rfam family "Bacterial small subunit ribosomal RNA", at positions 355 to 861 of the family's 1533-position model. The record is from RNAcentral. Lineage: Bacteria; Bacillati; Actinomycetota; Actinomycetes.
UGGGGAAUCUUGCGCAAUGGGCGAAAGCCUGACGCAGCGACGCCGCGUGAGGGAGGAAGGCCUUCGGGUUGUAAACCUCUUUCAGGAGGGACGAAGCUACUCGGGUGAAUAGCCCAGAGGGUGACGGUACCUCCAGAAGAAGCCCCGGCUAACUACGUGCCAGCAGCCGCGGUAAUACGUAGGGGGCAAGCGUUGUCCGGAUUUACUGGGCGUAAAGCGCGUGUAGGCGGCCGCACAGGUCCGUUGUGAAAACUGGAGGCUUAACCUCCAGACGUCGACGGAAACCGUGUGACUAGAGUCCGGAAGAGGAGAGUGGAAUUCCUGGUGUAGCGGUGAAAUGCGCAGAUAUCAGGAAGAACACCAAUGGCGAAGGCAGCUCUCUGGGACGGUACUGACGCUGAGACGCGAAAGCGUGGGGAGCGAACAGGAUUAGAUACCCUGGUAGUCCACGCCGUAAACGAUGGGUGCGUAGGUGUGGGAGGUGUCGACUCCUUCCGUGCCGUAGCUAACGCUAA